Molecule: ribosomal RNA, 506 nt
Filed under: uncultured delta proteobacterium
Lineage: Bacteria; Deltaproteobacteria
Description: bacterial SSU rRNA
Rfam family: Bacterial small subunit ribosomal RNA
Source: RNAcentral
GAAUUACUGGGCGUAAAGCGCAUGUAGGCGGCUGGUAAGUCGGACGUGAAAGCCCGGGGCUCAACCCCGGAAGGGGCGCUCGAUACUGCCGAACUUGGGUCCUGAAGAGGAGAGCGGAAUUCCCCGGUGUAGAGGUGAAAUUCGUAGAUAUCGGGAGGAACACCAGUGGCGAAGGCGGCUCUCUGGGCAGGUACCGACGCAGAGAUGCGAAAGCGUGGGAAGCAAACAGGAUUAGAUACCCUGGUAGUCCACGCCGUAAACGAUGACAACUGGGUGUUGCGGGUAUUGACUCCCGCUGCGCCGAAGCUAACGCGUUAAGUUGUCCGCCUGGGAAGUACGGCCGCAAGGCUAAAACUCAAAGGAAUUGACGGGGGCCCGCACAAGCGGUGGAGCAUGUGGUUUAAUUCGACGCAACGCGAAGAACCUUACCUGGGCUCGAAAAUGCAAGGACCUGGCUGAAAGGCCGGGGUGCCCGCAAGGGAGCUUGUAUCAGGUGCUGCAUGGCU